AUUUUUUGUUUUUCUUUAGCUUCUUCAUCUUCAUCAGAUAUUUAUGGAAGAGUUGACCUAAUAUGCUCUGUAAAGUAUUUUAAUAAACCUAAUGGUUGUGAGCAGAACAGCAUCAUCUGGGUGGAUGAAACCGGAUCUCAGCUGACUGAUGAAGGUCUUGGGUUUGAAGUUAGAGGACAAACAAACUGCGUUUCCCUUCUGGUUUUGAAACAUCAGAGUGGAAACAACAAACGAUUCACCUGCCAGUUUGUUGAGAACAACAAAGUGAAGAUAGAGGCCGUCUAUGUUGCAAACUUUUCAGAUCCUUCCACUGCAGAUCUUCUUGGUCAUAUCUUCAUCAUCUUCAUCAUCAUUGCAGCCGUGGUGAAGGUGUCGAUAUUUUUGGGUGUGGUUGCUGCUCUGGUCUACAUCCAUAGAAGGAGAAGCAACAUUAAUGAGGACCAGGGAACCAGAACAAAAAGAGACAUCAAAGAUGAUUUUGAAAACACAAUGUGAAGAAGAGAAGAGAAGAGAACUUCAGAAAAAAGAAUAAAAACUUGUAUUUCAC
This is a long non-coding RNA of Oryzias melastigma (Indian medaka), 547 nucleotides long. RefSeq lists it as uncharacterized. The transcript has 3 exons. NCBI's taxonomy places the organism in Eukaryota, Metazoa, Chordata, Actinopteri, Beloniformes, Adrianichthyidae. The record is from RefSeq and is a predicted model, not a curated record.